UUUAGCAUUUUUGAAUGAUUUCUGAAGGAUGAUGUGACAAUGAAGAGUGGAGUGAUGACUUUUACUUUUGAACAUUUGUUCAGACACCUCAAACACUAACAGAACACAUUGUGUCUCUGUCCAAGGUGCUGAACCAGGACUUCAGGUUGGACUACUGCAGACUGUGGCAGAGUUUGAUAAAGGGAGACUUGAAAGGCAUCGAGCGUUACAGCUCUAUCCUGUGUUCACUUGUGUCCUCACCGCCCGCUCCUGGACGUCAGUAAAUGUUGGUAUCAGCCAGACACCUGUCACUCAAACUGAGUGCACAGAGAUCUAUAACGUCUGCCUGAGGGGUGAAGUGCAAACCGGUUGUACCCGGGAUGAGAGGGGUGUGUGAUGAUGUUUCCUGCCCGUUUCUUCACGCUGGAGGUGUACAAGUCCUGAAGGAUGUGGAGAUCUGAACGAAUGCGGCGCUGUACAUCCCUCAGAUCAGUGAGCUGCUGAACCGGGUUCCCUGACAGAUGCUGCUGCUUCUGAAAACCAACGACCUGCUGAGAGGCGUCGAGACUAUCCUGCAGACUAGAGCCAGCUCCAGCUCCUUCAUCAGGAUGUCCCGCUGCUGUACUCAUGCUAUCGCCAGAAACCAAGUCUCGGACCAGGUUACUGUAGAUCUCUCUGUUAGAGCGUUGGUCUCUCUGUAUGAACUUAUGGUGUGACUCCACAGCUUCACACUGGCCAGAUGGGUCUGUUACUUCCUCAACUUCCUGUCCUAUUCAAACUGAAAGCCUUGAACCAGGGCAUUACACCCUCUUCACUGAACUCAGGACACUGCCAAGUGCAAUGUUAGCUUUUUUUAAGGUUGAGGGGCUACAGUGGCAUGCAUCACAGAAAACCCCUCACUUCCCCCAGCCUGAAGGCAACAGCCAGCAGUCAGGAAGUCCAACCCUACCAUACUAAUGCCCUCAGGCUAGAGAGAAGAUUUUAGCUGCCAAGCAUCGGAUGAUGGACGCAGUUAUCUGCUCAACAAGUCUCUUCCACAUCACUCUCUGCUCAGCUGCACAGCUGAAACCAAAUUGCUGAAUCCCAGCUUCACCAUCCACCAUAAUGUGUCAUUUACUGUGUCCACAGUUAAUCCUGUCAGGCACGAAUUGCAGCUAUAGUGUGUUUCCAGGAGCCGUGCAAACUUGUAAUU
Carassius auratus (goldfish) is the source of this 1171-nucleotide long non-coding RNA. RefSeq lists it as uncharacterized. The transcript is spliced from 5 exons. The record is from RefSeq and is a predicted model, not a curated record. Lineage: Eukaryota; Metazoa; Chordata; Actinopteri; Cypriniformes; Cyprinidae.